RNAcentral lists this ribosomal RNA (406 nucleotides) under uncultured bacterium. RNAcentral's name for it is "partial 16S ribosomal RNA". It matches the Rfam family "Bacterial small subunit ribosomal RNA", at positions 30 to 526 of the family's 1533-position model. The record is from RNAcentral.
AUUGAACGCUGGCGGCAGGCCUAAUACAUGCAAGUCGAACGAGUGGCGGACGGGUGAGUAAUGUCUGGGAAACUGCCUGAUGGAGGGGGAUAACUACUGGAAACGGUAGCUAAUACCGCAUAACAUAAGUUGUGCCAAGAUGGGAUUAGCUAGUUGGUGGGGUAACGGCUCACCAAGGAGAAGAUCCCUAGCUGGUCUGAGAGGCUGACGGGCCACACUGGAACGGAGACACGGUCCAGACUCCGACGUGAGGCAGCAGUGGGGAUGAUUGCACAAGGGGCGCAAGCCUGAUGCAGCCAUGCCGCGUGUGUGAAGAAGGCCUUCGGGUUGUAAAGUACUUUCAUCGGGGAGGCGUUACCCUCAGAAGAAGCACCGGCUAACUCCGUGCCAGCAGCCGCGGUAAUUC